AAGUCGUAACAAGGUUUCCGUAGGUGAACCUGCGGAAGGAUCAUUACAAAAACAAAAUCCAAACCACACCACUGUGCUCUUUAUUGUGAGAAAAAUGUCUUUGUGUGUGUGUGUUGUUGUUUGUUUGUUGGAAGAGGGGGAUGAAAAUCCUUCUCUUCUUCACACACACACACACACACACACACACACACAAGCUUUUCCUCACAAGUCUUUGUUUUCAAUUUUUCAUUACUCCUUGUUUAACCAACAACGGAUUACAAUGUUAAAACUUGAAACAAAACAAACAAAACAAAAUGACAACUUUUAACGGUGGAUCUCUUGGCUCGU
This 327-nucleotide unclassified non-coding RNA is filed under the name fungal sp. Its description in RNAcentral is "partial internal transcribed spacer region". The stretch from base 1 to 46 matches the Rfam family "Eukaryotic small subunit ribosomal RNA", at positions 1786 to 1831 of the family's 1831-position model. Lineage: Eukaryota; Fungi. The record is from RNAcentral.